Molecule: ribosomal RNA, 626 nt
Filed under: uncultured Kocuria sp.
Lineage: Bacteria; Bacillati; Actinomycetota; Actinomycetes; Micrococcales; Micrococcaceae
Description: bacterial SSU rRNA
Rfam family: Bacterial small subunit ribosomal RNA
Source: RNAcentral
ACUACGGGACGCAGCAGUGGGGAAUAUUGCACAAUGGGCGGAAGCCUGAUGCAGCGACGCCGCGUGAGGGAUGACGGCCUUCGGGUUGUAAACCUCUUUCAGUAGGGAAGAAGCGCAAGUGACGGUACCUGCAGAAGAAGCGCCGGCUAACUACGUGCCAGCAGCCGCGGUAAUACGUAGGGCGCAAGCGUUGUCCGGAAUUAUUGGGCGUAAAGAGCUCGUAGGCGGUCUGUCGCGUCUGCUGUGAAAGCCCGGGGCUCAACCCCGGGUCUGCAGUGGGUACGGGCAGACUAGAGUGCAGUAGGGGAGACUGGAAUUCCUGGUGUAGCGGUGAAAUGCGCAGAUAUCAGGAGGAACACCGAUGGCGAAGGCAGGUCUCUGGGCUGUUACUGACGCUGAGGAGCGAAAGCAUGGGGAGCGAACAGGAUUAGAUACCCUGGUAGUCCAUGCCGUAAACGUUGGGCACUAGGUGUGGUGGACAUUCCACGUUCUCCGCGCCGUAGCUAACGCAUUAAGUGCCCCGCCUGGGGAGUACGGCCGCAAGGCUAAAACUCAAAGGAAUUGACGGGGGCCCGCACAAGCGGCGGAGCAUGCGGAUUAAUUCGAUGCAACGCGAAGAACCUUAC